RNAcentral lists this ribosomal RNA (1534 nucleotides) under Bacteroides stercoris. RNAcentral describes it as "bacterial SSU rRNA". It matches the Rfam family "Bacterial small subunit ribosomal RNA". Lineage: Bacteria; Pseudomonadati; Bacteroidota; Bacteroidia; Bacteroidales; Bacteroidaceae. The record is from RNAcentral.
CUUUUACAAUGAAGAGUUUGAUCCUGGCUCAGGAUGAACGCUAGCUACAGGCUUAACACAUGCAAGUCGAGGGGCAGCAUCAUCAAAGCUUGCUUUGAUGGAUGGCGACCGGCGCACGGGUGAGUAACACGUAUCCAACCUGCCGACAACACUGGGAUAGCCUUUCGAAAGAAAGAUUAAUACCGGAUGGCAUAGUUUUCCCGCAUGGGAUAAUUAUUAAAGAAUUUCGGUUGUCGAUGGGGAUGCGUUCCAUUAGGCAGUUGGCGGGGUAACGGCCCACCAAACCAACGAUGGAUAGGGGUUCUGAGAGGAAGGUCCCCCACAUUGGAACUGAGACACGGUCCAAACUCCUACGGGAGGCAGCAGUGAGGAAUAUUGGUCAAUGGACGAGAGUCUGAACCAGCCAAGUAGCGUGAAGGAUGACUGCCCUAUGGGUUGUAAACUUCUUUUAUACGGGAAUAAAGUUAGCCACGUGUGGCUUUUUGUAUGUACCGUAUGAAUAAGGAUCGGCUAACUCCGUGCCAGCAGCCGCGGUAAUACGGAGGAUCCGAGCGUUAUCCGGAUUUAUUGGGUUUAAAGGGAGCGUAGGCGGGUUGUUAAGUCAGUUGUGAAAGUUUGCGGCUCAACCGUAAAAUUGCAGUUGAUACUGGCGACCUUGAGUGCAACAGAGGUAGGCGGAAUUCGUGGUGUAGCGGUGAAAUGCUUAGAUAUCACGAAGAACUCCGAUUGCGAAGGCAGCUUACUGGAUUGUAACUGACGCUGAUGCUCGAAAGUGUGGGUAUCAAACAGGAUUAGAUACCCUGGUAGUCCACACAGUAAACGAUGAAUACUCGCUGUUGGCGAUAUACAGUCAGCGGCCAAGCGAAAGCAUUAAGUAUUCCACCUGGGGAGUACGCCGGCAACGGUGAAACUCAAAGGAAUUGACGGGGGCCCGCACAAGCGGAGGAACAUGUGGUUUAAUUCGAUGAUACGCGAGGAACCUUACCCGGGCUUAAAUUGCAACUGACGGAACCGGAAACGGUUCUUUCUUCGGACAGUUGUGAAGGUGCUGCAUGGUUGUCGUCAGCUCGUGCCGUGAGGUGUCGGCUUAAGUGCCAUAACGAGCGCAACCCUUAUCGAUAGUUACUAGCAGGUCAUGCUGAGGACUCUAUUGAGACUGCCGUCGUAAGAUGUGAGGAAGGUGGGGAUGACGUCAAAUCAGCACGGCCCUUACGUCCGGGGCUACACACGUGUUACAAUGGGGGGUACAGAAGGCAGCUACACGGCGACGUGGUGCUAAUCCCGAAAGCCUCUCUCAGUUCGGAUUGGAGUCUGCAACCCGACUCCAUGAAGCUGGAUUCGCUAGUAAUCGCGCAUCAGCCACGGCGCGGUGAAUACGUUCCCGGGCCUUGUACACACCGCCCGUCAAGCCAUGAAAGCCGGGGGUACCUGAAGUACGUAACCGCGAGGAGCGUCCUAGGGUAAAACUGGUGAUUGGGGCUAAGUCGUAACAAGGUAGCCGUACCGGAAGGUGCGGCUGGAACACCUCCUUUCU